AACGCCAAGAACCUUACCUGGUCUUGACAUCCGCGGAAGUUUUCAGAGAUAAGAAUGUGCCUUCGGGAACCGUGAGACAGGUGCUGCAUGGCUGUCGUCAGCUCGUGUUGUGAAAUGUUGGGUUAAGUCCCGCAACGAGCGCAACCCUUAUCCUUUGUUGCCAGCGGUCCGGCCGGGAACUCAAAGGAGACUGCCAGUGAUAAACUGGAGGAAGGUGGGGAUGACGUCAAGUCAUCAAGGCCCUUACGACCAGGGCUACACACGUGCUACAAUGGCGCAUACAAAGAGAAGCGACCUCGCGAGAGCAAGCGGACCUCAUAAAGUGCGUCGUAGUCCGGAUUGGAGUCUGCAACUCGACUCCAUGAAGUCGGAAUCGCUAGUAAUCGUGGAUCAGAAUGCCACGGUGAAUACGUUCCCGGGCCUUGUACACACCG
RNAcentral lists this ribosomal RNA (434 nucleotides) under uncultured bacterium. Its description in RNAcentral is "bacterial SSU rRNA". It matches the Rfam family "Bacterial small subunit ribosomal RNA", at positions 958 to 1392 of the family's 1533-position model. The record is from RNAcentral.